GUCUGUCUGGCAUGGUUCAUCUGACCUUGACCUCGAUUUCAUGGUUCAUUGAUCAAUGUUUAGUUUUCUUGGUUAAUGUUGAGUUUAUGUAACAGGUGUGAUAAAGCUUUAUAUUUAGGACUAUCAACAUAAUAUCAAUGAUUAGUAAAGAAGGCGAGACAUUUCAGCGUGUGCACUCUUGUUUUGAUACAUGUAGUGAAACAGAAUAAACCACCAGGCUGUCCUAUUAUUUUGUCAGAAUUCCUAAUCAGAAG
RNAcentral lists this long non-coding RNA (254 nucleotides) under Mytilus galloprovincialis (Mediterranean mussel). The record is from RNAcentral. Lineage: Eukaryota; Metazoa; Mollusca; Bivalvia; Mytilida; Mytilidae.